GAGCCUGAGAAACGGCUACCACAUCCAAGGAAGGCAGCAGGCGCGCAAAUUACCCAAUCCUGACACAGGGAGGUAGUGACAAUAUAUAACGAUACAGGGCCUUUGGUCUUGUAAUUGGAAUGAGUACAAUGUAAAUACCUUAACGAGGAACAAUUGGAGGGCAAGUCUGGUGCCAGCAGCCGCGGUAAUUCCAGCUCCAAUAGCGUAUAUUAAAGUUGUUGCAGUUAAAAAGCUCGUAGUUGAACUUUGGGCCUGGGCGGGCGGUCUACCUAUGGUGAGUACUGCUGCGGCCGGGUCUUUCCUUCUGGCUAGCCCUUGUGGCGAACCAGGACGAUUACUUUGAGGAAAUUAGAGUGUUCAAAGCAGGCCUUUGCUCGGAUAUAUUAGCAUGGAAUAAUAGAAUAGGACGUAUGGUUCUAUUUUGUUGGUUUCUAGGACCAUCGUAAUGAUUAAUAGGGACGGUCGGGGGCAUCAGUAUUCAGUUGUCAGAGGUGAAAUUCUUGGAUUAACUGAAGACUAACUACUGCGAAAGCAUUUGCCAAGGACGUUUUCAUUAAUCAAGAACGAAAGUUAGGGGAUCGAAGAUGAUCAGAUACCGUCGUAGUCUUAACCAUAAACUAUGCCGACUAGGGAUCGGGUGGCGCUACUUUGCCCACUCGGCACCUUACGAGAAAUCAAAGUUUUUGGGUUCUGGGGGGAGUAUGGUUGCAAGGCUGAAACUUAAAGGAAUUGACGGAAGGGCACCACCAGGAGUGGAGCCUGCGGCUUAAUUUGACUCAACACGGGGAAACUCACCAGGUCCAGACGUAAUAAGGAUUGACAAGUUAGAGACUUCUCUUGAUCUUACGGGUGGUGGUGCAUGGCCGUUUUUAGUCCUUGGAGUGAUUUGUCUGCUUAAUUGCGAUAACGGACGAGACCUUAACCUGCUAAAUAGGGCUGCGAGCAUCUGCUCGUGGGCUCUUCUUAGAGGGACUAUGGGUAUCAAACCCAUGGAAGUUUGAGGCAACAACAGGUCUGUGAUGCCCUUAGACGUUCUGGGCCGCACGCGCGCUACACUGACGGAGCCAGCAAGUACAACCUUGGUCGAGAGGCCCGGGUAAUCUCGUGAAACUCCGUCGUGCUGGGGAUAGAGCAUUGUAAUUUUUGCUCUUCAACGAGGAAUUCCUAGUAAGCGCAAGUCAUCAGCUUGCGUUGAUUACGUCCCUGCCCUUUGUACACACCGCCCGUCGCUACUACCGAUUGAAUGGCUUAGUGAGGCUUCAAGAUUGGCGCCGCGGGAGAGGCAACUUUGCCAUGGCGCCGAAAAUUUAGUCAAACUUGGUCAUUUAGAGGUCGUAAAAGUCGUAACAAGGUUUCCGUAGGUGAACCUGCGGAAGGAUCAUUACUGUGAUUUAACCAUUCUACACGUGCGUGAGCGCAACUACAACACGAAAACGUAUGUACUAUUGUCAACAAACUACAAAACAAACAAAACUUCA
Molecule: ribosomal RNA, 1478 nt
Filed under: Pichia sp. LHE
Lineage: Eukaryota; Fungi; Ascomycota; Pichiomycetes; Pichiales; Pichiaceae
Description: SSU rRNA
Rfam family: Eukaryotic small subunit ribosomal RNA
Source: RNAcentral